Molecule: ribosomal RNA, 465 nt
Filed under: uncultured bacterium
Lineage: Bacteria
Description: partial 16S ribosomal RNA
Rfam family: Bacterial small subunit ribosomal RNA
Source: RNAcentral
CUACGGGACGCUGCAGUGAGGAAUAUUGCGCAAUGGGGGAAACCCUGACGCAGCGACGCCGCGUGAGUGAGGAAGGCCUUCGGGUCGUAAAGCUCUGUCAAGAGGAAAGAAGUGCAUAGUAGUUAAUACCUGCUAUGUUUGACGGUACCUCUAAAGGAAGCACCGGCUAACUCCGUGCCAGCAGCCGCGGUAAUACGGAGGGUGCAAGCGUUGUUCGGAAUCACUGGGCGUAAAGGGCGCGCAGGCGGCCUGGUAAGUCAGAUGUGAAAGCCCACGGCUUAACCGUGGAAGUGCAUUUGAAACUGUCAGGCUUGAGUACCAGAGGGGAAAGUGGAAUUCCCGGUGUAGAGGUGAAAUUCGUAGAUAUCGGGAGGAAUACCGGUGGCGAAGGCGACUUUCUGGCUGAGUACUGACGCUGAGGCGCGAAAGCGUGGGGAGCAAACAGGAUUAGAUACCCGCGUAGUC